GUGAGGAAUAUUGGUCAAUGGACGAGAGUCUGAACCAGCCAAGUCGCGUGAAGGAAGACGGUUCUAUGAAUUGUAAACUUCUUUUGUGCAGGAAUAAAGUGGGUUACGUGUAACCUUUUGUAUGUACUGUACGAAUAAGGAUCGGCUAACUCCGUGCCAGCAGCCGCGGUAAUACGGAGGAUCCGAGCGUUAUCCGGAUUUAUUGGGUUUAAAGGGUGCGUAGGUGGAUUGAUAAGUCAGCGGUGAAAGUUUGCAGCUUAACUGUAAAAUUGUCGUUGAAACUGUCGGUCUUGAGUGCAAAUGAGGUAGGCGGAAUGUGUUGUGUAGCGGUGAAAUGCUUAGAUAUAACACAGAACUCCGAUUGCGAAGGCAGCUUACUGGGAUGCAACUGACACUGAUGCACGAAAGCGUGGGUAUCAAACAGGAUUAGAUACCCCGGUAGUCC
Molecule: ribosomal RNA, 445 nt
Filed under: uncultured bacterium
Lineage: Bacteria
Description: partial 16S ribosomal RNA
Rfam family: Bacterial small subunit ribosomal RNA
Source: RNAcentral